Molecule: long non-coding RNA, 1377 nt
Organism: Patella vulgata (common limpet)
Lineage: Eukaryota; Metazoa; Mollusca; Gastropoda; Patellidae
Exons: 5
Source: RefSeq, a predicted model, not a curated record
CCUAUAUUUAGCACUCGUGUGACACGAGGAUAUUCAGUGUAUAUAUAAGAUAGACAGUAUUUAUAAUGUAAUUGAAUUAUAAAGCUUCAGUAUGGCCGUGGCUGUUAUAUUAAAUCAUAUUAAUACAUUAUUAUAUAUUCUAGCCUCAUGGAUCACAACUGCCCAGUAUAUGGUACAAUACACUUCAAAUUUGACAGAUAUAUCGGUUUUUACACUGGAUAGAUUAGAGAUUCAUCUGGAUGUCCAAGUAAAAUAUAGACCUAACUUAUUUGAGAGAAACACGAUGGUUAAUCCACAGUUAAACCCUGACAGUUACCAAAUGAUUGUCAACGCAACAAUUACAGACGCAAUAAAGGGAACAUCCCCGCAUUUUUCGGUGCUUGAAUAUUUUCAAAAGAGAGAUGUCGUGGAAGCAGCUUUUAAAGACGCUAUAGACUUAAGAUUUGCAGGUGUAUGUUGUGAUUUUGGAUGUAACAGCAGAAACAGAGGAUGUAAAGAAGGUUGUAAAUCCAGGGAAACGUGUACAACUAAUGAUAAAGGAGUUUUUACUUUAUUAGAUGAAUUUAAACUUGUCGAGAUUCACAUUCCUGAUAUCGUUAGAGAGAGAAUAUUACAGGUCCUUGCUAAAACUACUACCACAACAACCCCGUAAAAGACAGGACGUGUAGUUAUGUUUUCAAUGUUUGAAACGUUAAUAGUAUUUAAGGAAUUCAAAGCACUAUCCUACAUCAUGCGUUGCUAAAAAGUAGAUUAUUGCUUGAAUUUAAGAUACACGUAUUGUGAAAUAUGAAAUUAUUACAAAAUCGAUUACAUAUUGUUCUCGAUGAAAAUUUGUUUUUAUACUUUGGUCGUUAACAAUAAAGAUUCUAACAUAUCGCAAUAAGUAUCUAAAUGAGCAGAAAGAUGACAAAGUUCGGUCUGUUUGCAAUUGUCUUCUGAAACGUUCGCAUCAAAAGCAUGGCCAUUCACCAUUGUUUAUUUGUUAGAUUUUCCACAUGUAGCCCUUAUAUUUUUUAAUUUUGCACUUUGGACUUUUUCGGGUAUAGUUUGUUAAAUUUUGCUGAUGGUGCGUUAUUUUGUAGAGGCCUUUACCAUUUUGGAUUAACUGACUGUAUUUUCUUCAGUGCUAUUUUAAUAGACGGUUCCCAUCAUCCCAUUUAUUAAACUGUCUUUUCUCUACGGUCUGUAAUCUUUCUAUUUAAUAUUUUGUUAUAAAAUAUAAUGCAUUGGAGGUUUUCAUAGGUUUUGUUUUAAUAUAUUUGUUUUUAAUUUUUGAAUGUGUUAUAUGAUACAGAAGUUUACAAUAUUAUAUUUAACUUAAGGGAGUACACUCCUUUGAUUUAAGUAAAAAAUAAAGUAAUAAGUAGAUUAAUAGCA